This 412-nucleotide long non-coding RNA is filed under the name Cricetulus griseus (Chinese hamster). Its description in RNAcentral is "lncRNA (ENSCGRG00000024508.1)". The record is from RNAcentral. Lineage: Eukaryota; Metazoa; Chordata; Mammalia; Rodentia; Cricetidae.
AGGAAACCCGCCAGCUCAUGCUGAGAGCACCCACCCAAGGCAAGAUCUGUGGUCUGCGCCAGUACUCUGACUCAGGAGGUUCCACUUGUAACCAAUGAACUUUGAGGUAGUUGUCUGCAAAGCAGACAGUGUUUUCUGUCCAGCUGGUGUCUGGCUCCCCAGGUUCUGGGGGACAUCCAGAGCAUUCCGAUGUGUAUCAUCCCUGAAGUAUGGACUGACAAAGCACCACCCCCCAGGGGGCUCAGAGGAACAAUGGAAGUUUUGGGGUUUCUCAGGUUGGAAGCAGGCGGCACUGUGGUGACUCUGACCCUGUUUGUGGCUCUCUUGGCCCUCCUGAAAUGGUGAGUGCCCUGGAGCCUGUGGUGCCAGGUGGGGUGUUCGGGCAUGUGUUUUUCUUCUUGUCUAAUCUAGA